UAACUGUGAAGACCGUUUCCUGCGACCGUCCAACCAGAAGGGUCUACACCGAGGGGUAGCCACAACACGACGCCUCCUGAGCCGACCAAGCUGACAGCCAAUCAAGAGAGUCACCUAAAGGAUAUCCCGGGAGCUACUCAUUGAGAUAUCCGUGGGAUUGCCUUCGUCUGUCUGGGAUAAUUUGGGAUAUCCUCAGGAUAAAGUGUGCUGUGUGGGUUACGGCCGGCUAGGCCGUUAUUUGUUCUCGGAAGUCUGUAUUAAAUUAAAUCUCUCUGAUAAAAGCGUGUGAGACAUUAAAGUGGAUAGACCUAACCUCCCCGGUGGGCUGGGGCCGGCGGAUGGCCACGUGCCAUCCCCGCCUUCGCCUCCAUAUGAAGAGAUAUCGAACGAUCUGAAGAAAUUUUGCACACAAAUCAGUAAAAAUAUGUCUCAAGAAGAAGUCAUGGAUAUAAGCCCGGUGGAAAUAACGUCUGCAAAGAGAGCUCUUUCAACAGAAGGUGAGUCGGACAAUCGUCAGCCUCCCCCCAAAAAUCAAAAGAAGAUCCGAAAGCCCCCUUCCAAGGAGGCUAAGGAACAUGAGGCAGCCUCAACUUCAUCUGAAAUAGUGACCGGCACGCAGUCCAAGGACCUCCCAGUGAAAUAUGGUGCCUUUACAAAGGCCCCAUAUGUUUUACACUUUAGACUGCCCUCCUCAAAGACGGACAAGGAAAAGACGAGAAAGAGGACCUCCCUGCUAAAGGUAUCAAAAAUGCUUGCUAAUGCCAACGUCAAAUUUUUGAAUCUAAGAAACUAUUCGUUCGACAUGUGGGUGGCUACUUUUCCCACGAAAACGGCAGCUAAUGCAGUACUCUCUAAUAAAUAUAUAAAAGAUGCAGGCUUUGCUGUUUUUAUUCCGGCAUACAAGCUAACACGCAAGAUGGUCAUCAGAAAUAUUCCUAUAGAAUUUUCUCUAGAAGAAAUAAAGAAGGCAAUAGAGGAGGAAAACUCCGACAUUAUGAUACAUAAUAUUUUUAGAUUAAAGAAGAAGGAUCGCACCACUGCCCUAUGGACCGACUCAGAAAAUAUAUGUGUGCAAAAAAUGGGGGAGGACAUCCCAGAGAGCCUCCUUAUCAUGCGCACAAUAAACACAGUCACACCCUACAUCUCAUCGGUCAGACUAUGUUAUAAAUGUGGCUAUUUUGGUCACAUUAGCAAAUACUGCGAAAGGAAUCCAAGAUGUCUUCAAUGUGGAGAGAGUGAUCACCAAAGCUCAAAGGAUCAGCCGUGCCAAAAGGAAAAAAAAUGCAUAAACUGCUCCGGUUCUCAUUCAACCACAGAUAGAGAGUGCCCUCUUUACGUUAGAAACGCUGAAAUAGCAAGAGUGAUGGCUUAUGAUAAUCUCUUUGAGGCCAAAACUCUGGUUAUCAGGCAAGAAAAGAAGACACCUGUAAUAACACCGCCGAAAACAAUCAAGAAUUUUCCCCUUCUCCCACAAAAGAAGGGAGUGUCUUUGGUCGACAAUCCGGCUAUGUUCCAGUCAUCAGUCAAGAGCGAUCGGUUAUGGACACAAUUAUUCACCCAUUGCGCGGCAGAGGUUAAGGCUAGAGCGUACCGCCUGCUGGACUGGCUGCUGGAAUUAGAAGAAAUUGAUGACCUAUUUGACAGGAUGGAGAAGACUUUGGAAAACCACAAGAUAGUAGUGGAACACACAAAACAAAAAAGACUUGGCUAACUAAUCAAAAUACUUUCCUCUUGAGAGGAUUUGACAUAAUUAGGAAGGACAGAGAGAACAGAAAAGGCGGCGGAGUGGCGAUAAUUGUGUCUCACUCUCUUAAGUAUCGAGCCAUCCAGAUACCAUACGAUUGCUUAGGCAAGAUAGAGGUUUGUGCGGCGGAAAUUUUUCUUGUCGACCAAGAAAAUGAUGUUCUUAGUAUAUACACUAAGCAUAUACACAACUUUUGUGGCCUCAAUCGAAAAGGCUGUAAAGGAAGCAUCAGCCCCGCUUAAGGACCGCCUUUCCAUAGGCCCUCCUCCGUGCUUAUGGUGGUCAAGAGAAUGCGACAAUCUCGUCAAUGAUAGAAAACUGGCAUGGCACAGAUUUAACAUCACGAGAAAUUACGAAGAUUUUGAGCGCUACAAACAG
This 2122-nucleotide unclassified non-coding RNA is filed under the name Monomorium pharaonis (pharaoh ant). RNAcentral's name for it is "uncharacterized LOC118648143, transcript variant X3". Lineage: Eukaryota; Metazoa; Arthropoda; Insecta; Hymenoptera; Formicidae. The record is from RNAcentral.